AGAGUUUGAUCCUGGCUCAGAUUGAACGCUGGCGGCAGGCCUAACACAUGCAAGUCGAGCGGAUGAUGGGAGCUUGCUCCCGGAUUCAGCGGCGGACGGGUGAGUAAUGCCUAGGAAUCUGCCUGGUAGUGGGGGACAACGUUUCGAAAGGAACGCUAAUACCGCAUACGUCUUACGGGAGAAAGCAGGGGACCUUCGGGCCUUGCGCUAUCAGAUGAGCCUAGGUCGGAUUAGCUAGUUGGUGGGGUAAAGGCCUACCAAGGCGACGAUCCGUAACUGGUCUGAGAGGAUGAUCAGUCACACUGGAACUGAGACACGGUCCAGACUCCUACGGGAGGCAGCAGUGGGGAAUAUUGGACAAUGGGCGAAAGCCUGAUCCAGCCAUGCCGCGUGUGUGAAGAAGGUCUUCGGAUUGUAAAGCACUUUAAGUUGGGAGGAAGGGCAGUAAGUUAAUACCUUGCUGUUUUGACGUUACCAACAGAAUAAGCACCGGCUAACUUCGUGCCAGCAGCCGCGGUAAUACGAAGGGUGCAAGCGUUAAUCGGAAUUACUGGGCGUAAAGCGCGCGUAGGUGGUUUGGUAAGAUGGAUGUGAAAUCCCCGGGCUCAACCUGGGAACUGCAUCCAUAACUGCCUGAC
Molecule: ribosomal RNA, 638 nt
Filed under: uncultured bacterium
Lineage: Bacteria
Description: bacterial SSU rRNA
Rfam family: Bacterial small subunit ribosomal RNA
Source: RNAcentral